GGGUGAGUAAUGUAUCGGAACGUGCCCAGUCGUGGGGGAUAACUAUCCGAAAGGAUAGCUAAUACCGCAUACGACCUGAGGGUGAAAGCGGGGGACCUGCAAAGGCCUCGCGCGAUUGGAGCGGCCGAUAUCGGAUUAGCUAGUUGGUGGGGUAAAGGCUCACCAAGGCGACGAUCCGUAGCGGGUCUGAGAGGACGACCCGCUACACUGGAACUGAGACACGGUCCAGACUCCUACGGGAGGCAGCAGUGGGGAAUUUUGGACAAUGGGCGCAAGCCUGAUCCAGCCAUUCCGCGUGAGUGAAGAAGGCCUUCGGGAUGUAAAGCUCUUUCAGCGGGAACGAAACGGUCGAUCCUAAUACGGUCGGCUAAUGACGGUACCUGCAGAAGAAGCACCGGCUAACUACGUGCCAGCAGCCGCGGUAAUACGUAGGGUGCGAGCGUUAAUCGGAAUUACUGGGCGUAAAGCGUGCGCAGGCGGUGACAUAAGACAGAUGUGAAAUCCCCGGGCUCAACCUGGGAACUGCGUUUGUGACUGUGUCGCUCGAGUGUAGCAGAGGGGGGUGGAAUUCCACGUGUAGCAGUGAAAUGCGUAGAGAUGUGGAGGAACACCGAUGGCGAAGGCAGCCCCCUGGGUUAACACUGACGCUCAUGCACGAAAGCGUGGGGAGCAAACAGGAUUAGAUACCCUGGUAGUCCACGCCCUAAACGAUGCCAACUAGGUGUUGGGGAAGGAGACUUCCUUAGUGCCGUAGCUAACGCGUGAAGUUGGCCGCCUGGGGAGUACGGUCGCAAGAUUAAAACUCAAAGGAAUUGACGGGGACCCGCACAAGCGGUGGAUGAUGUGGAUUAAUUCGAUGCAACGCGAAAA
RNAcentral lists this ribosomal RNA (870 nucleotides) under uncultured bacterium. RNAcentral describes it as "bacterial SSU rRNA". It matches the Rfam family "Bacterial small subunit ribosomal RNA", at positions 104 to 967 of the family's 1533-position model. The record is from RNAcentral.